GCUUUCAGAGGUUCAUAAAAUUUAAGAUUAUACAUCAAUAGAUAUGAGAAUUGAUACUGCAGUAUUGGCAAUGCUAGUAGCAUUGCAGCUUUGUUGAAUUAUUACAUAGAGCACAUGAAGACAACAUACUGACAUAUAUAUUUUAUGAUUUCGAAGAAAGGGGUAAACCUGACAACAAGCCUAAAUGGUAUAACAACUGGGAAAUUACUGACAUAUAUAAGCAUCAAGCGUUCGCUCUUGAUUGGAGUACUUCAGGGGAUUUAUCACUAUCAAGCAGAUUUGUAUCGUCCGCGAACAAUUUCGAAAAUAAUGUGGUGCUUCGAGCAAGAUCGUUGAUGAAUAUUAAAAAUAAAGUCGGUCCCAAGCACGAUCCCUGUGGGACUCCGUGGGUCACAGACUUGAAGAUUGGAACUACUCUCGCGAUUUUCAAUGAAGAUGGAAAUAUUCCCAACUGAAGUGAACUAUUGAAAAACUUUGUCAGACAUGGAGCUAUGAUAUCAGCAACAUACUUGAGAAAGCGGCUCUGGAUGUUGUCAGCCCCAACUGCCUUACCAUCCUUAAGACUUAUGAUUUCAGCUGUUAAUUCAUUCACUGUUGUGGGAUUCAGAAAUAUGGAAUUGCUUAUCCGCUUGUCAAGAUACUUUCUAAACCCCUCCAUGUCAUUGGGGAAUUGUUUAGAAAGAUUAGAACCGACAGUGGAAAAGUACUGAUUGAAUUCUUGUGCAAUCGAAUGACUAUCAUUAAUAAUACUGCCAUUUUCCAGAUGGAUUUCGUCAAUAUUAUGCCUUAACUUGUUUUUAGAGGAUGCAAUUUGAUUCACAAUUCGCCAUGUAGACUUGGGGUUUCCCUUGUUUUCAGCAAUCAUAUUCUGGUAAUACAUUUGUUUCGCCAUAUCAAUGGUAUGUGUGAGUAAAUUGCGAUACUUUUUGAAAUAUGAGCACUGGGAACUAUUGCCCUUUAGGAAGUGGGAUUUAUACAUUUUAUGUCUUGAACGAAUACUAUUGAGUAUUCCUUUCGAUAUCCAUGGUUUAAGUUUAAUCUUUUUUUCGCGGCGUGACAAUUGUUUAAACGGAGCAUGGCGGUCAAUUAGAUGAACAAUAGAAUUUGUAAAUUCUUCAAAAUGACUAUUAAAAUUAUGGGCAUUCAAGUUAAAUGCAGCAAAGUGAUUAUUAAUUAUAUCUUGCAUGUCUGACCGAAACGCGUCAAUCGAAAAUGUAGACAUAUCCCUUCUAAAAAUAACAUCAUUUCUGAUUGAUGGUUUGAUGCCAUUAAGACUACACAUUAUUGGGAAAUGAUCAGUAAUAUCUGAUAAUAUAACAUGAGAAUCCAGUUUUA
Styela clava is the source of this 1335-nucleotide non-coding RNA. The record is from RefSeq and is a predicted model, not a curated record. Lineage: Eukaryota; Metazoa; Chordata; Ascidiacea; Stolidobranchia; Styelidae.